This 468-nucleotide ribosomal RNA is filed under the name uncultured bacterium. RNAcentral describes it as "partial 16S ribosomal RNA". It matches the Rfam family "Bacterial small subunit ribosomal RNA", at positions 28 to 507 of the family's 1533-position model. The record is from RNAcentral.
GACGAACGCUGGCGGCGUGCUUAACACAUGCAAGUCGAACGGAAAGGCCCUGCUUUUGUGGGGUGCUCGAGUGGCGAACGGGUGAGUAACACGUGAGUAACCUGCCCUUGACUUUGGGAUAACUUCAGGAAACUGGGGCUAAUACCGGAUAGGAGCUCCUGCUGCAUGGUGGGGGUUGGUAAGUUUCGGCGGUUGGGGAUGGACUCGCGGCUUAUCAGCUUGUUGGUGGGGUAGUGGCUUACCAAGGCUUUGACGGGUAGCCGGCCUGAGAGGGUGACCGGCCACAUUGGGACUGAGAGACGGCCCAGACUCCUACGGGAGGCAGCAGUGGGGAAUAUUGCACAAUGGGCGGAAGCCUGAUGCAGCAACGCCGCGUGCGGGAUGACGGCCUUCGGGUUGUAAACCGCUUUGGCCUGUGACGAAGCGUGAGUGACGGUAAUGGGUAAAGAAGCACCGGCUAACUACGUG